This is a non-coding RNA of Chrysemys picta bellii (western painted turtle), 571 nucleotides long. NCBI's taxonomy places the organism in Eukaryota, Metazoa, Chordata, Testudines, Emydidae. The record is from RefSeq and is a predicted model, not a curated record.
UCUUGCAGUGUCUUCUCUCCAGCAACACUGAGCUCCUGGUCAAACUUCAGCCAUGAAGAUUCUCUACCUGCUCUUUGCUGUCUUUUUCCUGGUGCUGCAAAGCUCUCCAGGAUUCACCCGAUUCAUCAAUAACUCCGUUGGUUGUUUUCAUGGUGGGGGCAUCUGCCUCUUUACAUGUUACCCCCAUUUCAUACGAAUCGGAAGUUGUAGUUUUGGGCAGAGUUGCUGUAGAAGAAGAUGGUAAAGAGAGUGAGUGAUGGCAGCAGAGAUUGUCAAUGCAGGAUCUCUCGGAAUCUGGCAGACGACGUCUUGCUUCUAAAAUCCUUGGAUGCUUUUCAUCUGGGCUGGAAAGAAUCUCGCAAGCCGGAAAAAAUCCACAAGGGAGCCCUUGUGUCCCCCCACACCCCCAAUAGCUUGUUCUUCUCCUUUUAGUAAAAGUAGCUGCUGGUUGUGGUGGUUUGCAAAAAUGCCUGUGAGUAUUUUGAUUCCACACAGGUGCUGUUUUGCUAUUUCUUUUCCAUAAAAAUCCCUUCCUUCUGUUAUCUUAACUACGUAUAAAUAAAAGAAAUGG